GAAAGCCCCCUUCGGGGGGCAAGUAGAGUGGCGCACGGGUGAGUAACACGUAGGUAAUCUACCUUUGGAUGGGGAAUAACAACCGGAAACGGUUGCUAAUACCGCAUAAUGCAGCGGCACCUAAUGGUGACAGUUGUUAAAGCGGGGGAUCGCAAGACCUCGCGUCUGAAGAGGAGCCUGCGGCAGAUUAGCUAGUUGGUAAGGUAAAGGCUUACCAAGGCGAUGAUCUGUAGCCGGCCUGAGAGGGCGGUCGGCCACACUGACACUGACAUACGGGUCAGACUCCUACGGGAGGCAGCAGUCGGGAAUUUUGGGCAAUGGGCGAAAGCCUGACCCAGCAACGCCGCGUGAAGGAUGAAAUCCCUCGGGAUGUAAACUUCGCAAGAACGGGAAGAAUAAGUAAGAGCUAACAUCUCUUAUGAUGACGGUACUGUUUGUAAGCUCCGGCUAACUCCGUGCCAGCAGCCGCGGUAAUACGGGGGGAGCAAGCGUUGUUCGGAUUUACUGGGCGUAAAGGGCGCGUAGGCGGCCACCGCAAGUCGACUGUGAAAUCUCCGGGCUUAACUCGGAAAGGUCAGCCGAUACUGCGGGGCUAGAGUGCAGAAGGGGCAACUGGAAUUCUCGGUGUAGCGGUGAAAUGCGUAGAUAUCGAGAGGAACACCUGCGGCGAAGGCGGGUUGCUGGGCUGACACUGACGCUGAGGCGCGAAAGCUAGGGGAGCGAACGGGAUUAGAUACCCCGGUAGUCCUAGCCUUAAACGAUGAAUGCUUGGUGUC
RNAcentral lists this ribosomal RNA (776 nucleotides) under uncultured Bacillota bacterium. RNAcentral describes it as "bacterial SSU rRNA". It matches the Rfam family "Bacterial small subunit ribosomal RNA", at positions 69 to 824 of the family's 1533-position model. The record is from RNAcentral. Lineage: Bacteria; Bacillati; Bacillota.